Oncorhynchus tshawytscha (Chinook salmon) is the source of this 1527-nucleotide long non-coding RNA. The record is from Ensembl. Lineage: Eukaryota; Metazoa; Chordata; Actinopteri; Salmoniformes; Salmonidae.
CUCUUCCACCCUCUCUCUCCUUCCCAUGCUCUCACUCUGACAUAUCAAAUAGGCUACACGCAAUUACGCCAUCUAUCAAACCUCCCAGAUGUUCUAAUCAACAGCGCCACACGGAACGCGCACAAGGCACCCAAAUGCACGCUUCCUGUCCAGGUCUGCCCUUUGUGCUGAGAGCACCGGGUUCUUUCUCUGUUUGGACUCCCUAACAUUGUGCCAAAGACACACCGGACGAGAACUACAGCAUAUUCAGUCUCUAUUGUCCUCAGACUCCGACAUGUAUUUGAUGUAUUAUGAUACGCCAUCUCUUAGCUAGUUUUUGUUCCACAACCCAGAGAGAUAGGCGUAGCCCAUAGAAUGAAAACAUAACCGUACACUGACGGGGUGGUUUGACCGUCAGUGCUGGUGCUCUUCGCAGCGUACAGGUGUGCUGUUCCGGUGUUUCACCUGCAGGUUGCAGCAUUGUUCCUGGAAACGGUCUCAAACCUGUCACCUGGACCAUGCAGACUGCGUUUUUCUGGUUGCGUUUACACAGCCAGCCCAAUUAUACCUUUUUAAUAAUCAGAGCAGCGCGGAAAAAUAUCUGAUGCGAAAAGAUCUGGUAUGAUUGGUCAAAAGACCAGUUAGUGGGUAAAAUAUCCGAAUUGGGCUGCCUGUGUAAACGCAUCUUCUGAGGCAUCAGGAUCGUACAAGUGUCACCUGUAACGUGAUUUUUGUUAGCCUACCAUAGGCCUAUGCAUCAAUGUGCAUGAUUGAGGAGGACGGACAGGUAGCCUAAUAUCUUAUGACGUCAAAAUAUGUGUCCACUUGCAUUGCAGGCCUAUUUGUAGAAACAUGUAAGGCCUAAAUAAGAAUGUUCUCCAUUAUUUUAGAUUUCCUUUGCAUUGAUUGCCUUUGCCUUCAACGCUGAAGAAGGGUUCAUACCCGAAACUCAUCCCAAUACAAAUAUGUCAAUUUAACUUAGUUUUUUUUUUUACCGGAGUGCUCUCCUAUUUCUGUUUCAUUUAUCAUUGGCCCACAAUACAAUAAUUUACUUAUCUUUCUCCAUUUAUAGCCUACUCCUUUGCAAUGUUUGUCUAGAUACAGCACUUCGUAGCGAUAGUCUACCACUUUUUUAAAAUAACGUUAGUAGUAAACAUUGUUAGGGGAACGCGAAGUUUAAACAUGACUUCGAGGUUUUGCUUCAGGACGGUGGGGAGCUCGAGACAUAGCCCAUGGACUGCACGGACCUAUGGAUACCCCCUAAGCUAAUAUCACAAGUGUAUUGUGAUAAUUAAUUCAUGCACUUGAAGUAGCCUACAUUGCUUAUCAAUAUUUUACAGAUUACAUAACUAACUUGUAAUUUAUUAUGAAACAUUGAAACAAAAACGGUUUUGGUCUGUAUAUCGUUAAGAAUAUGCAGGUCGGUGUCUUGGUUGUUGUUGUAAUUCAUCCCACAUUUUUUUUUUUAUAUUCAAAAGAUAUUGUAAGUCUAAUUCAGCAAAUCAGGAAAUUGAUGCAACGUGUGUCAUGUUUAAAAAUCAAAUAAAA